GAACAAUGUGAAAGUGUUGGAGAUAAUGAAACUUUGACACGAAGAUCAUCCAUCCCCAUCAUGAUGUGUGACAUCUUCCCAGAAGACUUCUUCAACUACUCAGUCAAGGCUCCUGGCUAUGAAGAUUGCGAGGAACAACUCUCCCAGAUCGCUUGACGAACCACCAAUGCUCCUUGUUCGCACGAGCCUAAACUGCAUGAACCAAAGCUCCUUGUCUGCACGAGCCUAAACU
RNAcentral lists this long non-coding RNA (232 nucleotides) under Malus domestica (apple). RNAcentral describes it as "long non-coding RNA (MDOM_LNC009265)". The record is from RNAcentral. Lineage: Eukaryota; Viridiplantae; Streptophyta; Magnoliopsida; Rosales; Rosaceae.